RNAcentral lists this unclassified non-coding RNA (221 nucleotides) under Glomeraceae sp. RNAcentral describes it as "partial contains 5.8S ribosomal RNA and internal transcribed spacer 2". The stretch from base 1 to 72 matches the Rfam family "5.8S ribosomal RNA", at positions 84 to 154 of the family's 154-position model. The record is from RNAcentral. Lineage: Eukaryota; Fungi; Glomeromycota; Glomeromycetes; Glomerales; Glomeraceae.
GUGAAUCAUCGAAUUUUUGAACGCAAAUUGCACUCUUUGGUUUUCCGGGAGAGUAUGCUUGUUUGAGGGCAUGUUUAAAAAAUAAUCGAGGCUGCUGCUGUGGUGGCGCCUCGGAAUUGGGUCAUCUUAAACCUUUCGGGGUGGUAAGCGACCUAAAAUUUUUCUUACGUUUUCUACGAACGUGUUUAAGAAUUUUGAUCGUACGUUCGUGACAUCGAAAU